UCUUGGUCAUUUAGAGGAAGUAAAAGUCGUAACAAGGUUUCCGUAGGUGAACCUGCGGAAGGAUCAUUAUCGAGUUUUGAAACGGGUUGUAGCUGGCCUUCCGAGGCAUGUGCACGCCCUGCUCAUCCACUCUACACCUGUGCACUUACUGUGGGUUUCAGGAGCUUCGAAAGCGAGAAAGGGGCCUUCACGGGCUUUUUUCUUGCCUAGUUGUUACUGGGCCUACGUUUCACUACAAACACUUAUAAAGUAUCAGAAUGUGUAUUGCGAUGUAACGCAUCUAUAUACAACUUUCAGCAACGGAUCUCUUGGCUCUCGCAUCGAUGAAGAACGCAGCGAAAUGCGAUAAGUAAUGUGAAUUGCAGAAUUCAGUGAAUCAUCGAAUCUUUGAACGCACCUUGCGCUCCUUGGUAUUCCGAGGAGCAUGCCUGUUUGAGUGUCAUGAAAUUCUCAACCUAACGGGUUCUUAACGGGACUUGCUUUAGGCUUGGACUUGGAGGUUCUUGUCGGCUUGCUUCAAUGUCAAGUCGGCUCCUCUUAAAUGCAUUAGCUUGGUUCCUGUGCGGAUCGGCUCACGGUGUGAUAAUUGUCUACGCCGCGACCGUUGAAGCGUUUUUAUAGGCCAGCUUCUAGUCGUCUCUUUACGAGACAAUAAUCAUCGAACUCUGACCUCAAAUCAGG
Molecule: ribosomal RNA, 681 nt
Filed under: Lentinus sp. 5-D-3-A(br)-42
Lineage: Eukaryota; Fungi; Basidiomycota; Agaricomycetes; Polyporales; Polyporaceae
Description: eukaryotic LSU rRNA
Rfam family: 5.8S ribosomal RNA (bases 289-442)
Source: RNAcentral